UAAGGAAUAUUGGUCAAUGGACGCAAGUCUGAACCAGCCAUGCCGCGUGAGGGAUGAAGGUCCUCUGGAUUGUAAACCUCUUUUAUCAGGGAAGAAAUGUCUCAUUUCUAUGGGAUUUGACGGUACCUGAGGAAUAAGCACCGGCUAACUCCGUGCCAGCAGCCGCGGUAAUACGGAGGGUGCAAGCGUUAUCCGGAUUUACUGGGUUUAAAGGGUGCGUAGGCGGGCCUUUAAGUCAGUGGUGAAAUCCCCGGGCCUAACCCGGGAACUGCCAUUGAUACUAUUGGUCUUGAAUUCAGUUGAGGUGGGCGGAAUGUGUCGUGUAGCGGUGAAAUGCUUAGAUAUGACACAGAACACCGAUUGCGAAGGCAGCUCGCUAAACUGACAUUGACGCUGAGGCACGAAAGCGUGGGGAUCAAACAG
This 423-nucleotide ribosomal RNA is filed under the name uncultured bacterium. RNAcentral's name for it is "bacterial SSU rRNA". It matches the Rfam family "Bacterial small subunit ribosomal RNA", at positions 355 to 775 of the family's 1533-position model. The record is from RNAcentral.